ACGCUGGCUGCUUUAUUCCUUUCCCACAAUUUACACUUUCUCACUAUUAAAACCUCCUCCGCUCCUCUCACAAGAGCGUGCAAGCCGGAUUUGCCAUAUUUUCAGUCAUCCUUCAUUGCACAUGAACAUUGGCUGCACCCUAAGCUUGGCUGUGAACUGAUUAUUCUCACCAGGAGCUGUUAACACAAAUUCCAUCACUCCUAUGGCUAAAAAUAAACCAUAUUUAGCACUUGGAAGCAAAAUUCCAGGCAAAUAUAUAAUCUAAUUUGAUUGAAUCUUUGUUGAAAAUGUUAAUGGUGGAAUCAAAUGCUUACCUUUGAGAUGGAAGAUUGCAUUUCUUCUGUGAGCAGGUGGAUAGAAAUCAAUUCCACCUAUCAAAUGAUGUAAUCAGAGAGACUGAUGGAUGCCUAAGCAUCCAAAAUGACACUAGUUCAUCUUUUUUAAGGGCAUUCCCCCCCAUUUGUGGUGCACCGCUAUUGAGGAUCAGUCUUCUCUUUAAAUCAUGCUGCUACGUUGGAGGAUUUAGGAAUAUUUAGUGUUUGUGUAUCCAGCUAGUGUCUGCAUAAUGUGAAAACAUGCUGUGCCUAGGAGAUACAAAUAUUAAUUAUAGUCAUUUGUGAGUGAUGGGAUUAUAGAUGAUUUUAAACUUUCUUCUUAUAAUUUUUCUGUGUCUUGCAAAUGUUCAGUAAUGAAUAUGUCUUACUCUAAGAAAAACAGUACAAAGGCUUUCCAAGUUUUUUGACUGCAACCGACAGUAAGAAGUACAUUUUACAUCCUGAUCCAGUACAAACGUGCAUUUAUGUAUUUAUAAAAUUGAAACAAGAGUUUCAUGAAGCAUUAGUUAACCUUUUUGCUACCUGUCCUUACCUCCUGAUGUUUUCUAUUUUUCUAUUCUAUUUUAUUGAAGAAAAAGAAAGAAAGAAGAGAAUGCAGGUAUUGACCAACUAAAAUGAUUUCAUGAACCACUGACAGGUAAAUUGAAAAAUACUGACUGUGCUGGCCCCGUGGCCUAGUGGUUA
Ceratotherium simum simum (southern white rhinoceros) is the source of this 1019-nucleotide non-coding RNA. The record is from RefSeq and is a predicted model, not a curated record. Lineage: Eukaryota; Metazoa; Chordata; Mammalia; Perissodactyla; Rhinocerotidae.